GAACUUUAUUCUGUUCAUUGGGAAUGUGGGUUUUAUUGAUGAGGGAGUGAUAAACUAUUGGAGAAUUCUCAAUUGUGGCGUCAUGUCUUCUGAGUUAUACUUUUACAGGAAUGAUUCUGGUUGCUCUGAAGGAACAGAUAGAUGUGGGGAGACAAGAAUAAAAGCAAGGAGGCUUGUAACUGGCUGUUUUCAUACUAGAGGAACUUCAGGACUGAAUCCUGCAGUAGAAGCAAGAACAGGCUAUUGGGAGACU
RNAcentral lists this long non-coding RNA (253 nucleotides) under Homo sapiens (human). Its description in RNAcentral is "HSALNT0039161". Lineage: Eukaryota; Metazoa; Chordata; Mammalia; Primates; Hominidae. The record is from RNAcentral.